Molecule: ribosomal RNA, 232 nt
Filed under: uncultured bacterium
Lineage: Bacteria
Description: partial 16S ribosomal RNA
Rfam family: Bacterial small subunit ribosomal RNA
Source: RNAcentral
GAUCGGCUCAGGACGAACGCUGGCGGCGUGCCUAAUACAUGCAAGUAGAACGCUGAAGGAGGAGCUUGCUCUUUCCGGAUGAGUUGCGAACGGGUGAGUAACGCGUAGGUAACCUGCCUGGUAGCGGGGGAUAACUAUUGGAAACGAUAGCUAAUACCGCAUAACAGUAGAUAUCGCAUGAUAGCUACUUGAAAGGUGCAAUUGCACCACUACCAGAUGGACCUGCGUUGUA